GAGAAUUCACCCAACCAAAGCCAACAGGAGUUUUCCCUGCAGGGAAGGCCAGAGCUGCCACCAAGGAGGGAAGCAGAGCCCCGUGGCUGUGGGAAGGACUGACCCUUUGCAGGCUGACAACAUGACAAUGCCAUGACCCAGAUGGGAGUGCAGAGCAGGUCUGCACUGACAGGACAGUCAUCCACGACCACAUCAGCCUGACAUUCCCUGAUGAUGGCAACGGGAUGAACUCGGAGCAGCUGCACAAAAUACUAAGUUGGCAACCAAGAGAAGAGACAGACUCGGCUCCAAUCCUUUGGAGUAUUGAUAAGAGAAGGUAUUGUGGGAAAUGACCCUGUGCCUUUUCUGUUUCUCCUGCCAGAGUCGGUAGGGUUUGGACUGAUCUCUCUUUUAUUUCUCCAGGUAGCAGAGAGGUUUCUUUCCCCUUUAGAAGAGAAGAUAGUGUACAGACCCCUUAUUAGAGAAGAUAGUGUACAGACCCCUUUAGUAGAGAAGAUAGUGUACAGAGAAGAUAGUAGAGAAGAUAGUGCAAAGAACCCAUUAUUAGAGAAGAUUGCUCUGCCUGCAGCUGUACCCAUGGACAAGCUUGGAUUCCAACAGUUCUGUUCACAGCAAGUGAGUCCCCACUUGUGUGUAUUUCUCCUGCUGAUCUACUCGCCCCCCUGGGAUUGUUUCCAGCAUUUUCUCGCCUGCACUUGGAUGUUGAUGCUUUUGCAUCUCUUUAAGCAGUGCAGCUGUGGCAGUUCCCUGCUUAGAGAGAAGCUGGAAUUCGUUGGCACUGGAGCACAUUGUCCCAGGAAGCGACUACUCCCUGCCAGGACGUAGGAGAUGUUUUUCCAUUGGCCUUGGGUUUGGGAGCUGGAGGGUUUGUGGGUGUUGUUUUAAAAUCAGGUGUUUUGUGGGCUUUUGCAGUAUUUGGUACCCGAAGCCGAGCACGCAGAUCAUCCUGGGAGGACAAAGAGCCAAAACACAGCUGGUUUCCAAAGCUGUCUUCCCCCACACUUGUCAUGUGGGCACAGGGAUACCACACUUGCAAGGGCUUCUCCAAAGGUUUUUCUGCCAGGAGUGCUCCAGGCUUUCAGAAGGUAACUUUCCAGCCCAGAACAGAAACACGGACCUGAUGCCGUCGUUUCCUGAGCACUGUAAGGUGUCCUGCACCUCUUGCCUCCCCACAAGAGGGAUGGGAUCCCAUCCCUGCAUGGCUGCUCCUUUCUGCCCUUGUGCUGCUUCCUUUGCCCGGCCCAGAAAUCCAUGGCUUGGCUUCAGAGCUGAUCUGGAUGCCAGCCCUCUGGGCCAGCCUAGUUCUCUGCACACACUCUGGUGUCAGUGCAGCCCUGGGGGGUGCAGGCGUUGGAAGAAGCCAGGCA
This 1367-nucleotide long non-coding RNA is filed under the name Manacus vitellinus (golden-collared manakin). RNAcentral describes it as "lncRNA (ENSMVIG00005003495.1)". Lineage: Eukaryota; Metazoa; Chordata; Aves; Passeriformes; Pipridae. The record is from RNAcentral.